This is a non-coding RNA of Microcebus murinus (gray mouse lemur), 2105 nucleotides long. Lineage: Eukaryota; Metazoa; Chordata; Mammalia; Primates; Cheirogaleidae. The record is from RefSeq and is a predicted model, not a curated record.
ACUGUCUCAAAAAAAAAAAAAAUAGUGUCUAACCUCCAUAAAUGUUCAAUAAAUUUUAACUAGUAGCACAAGUAGUAACGGCAGAGUAUCUCCUAAUAACAUUUCAUCCCAAGUUACCUCCCUUAUUUUUCCACAGCAAAAGUUGUUCAGAUUCUUCUUUAUGUAUAUGGAAUGAUUAAUCAUUAUAAUAUGAUUAAUUAUAACAAAGAAUGCAGUGCAGUAUGAUUAGUUUUUAACUUGGUUUAAUGAAGCUGCAGUCUUUUAGCCAACAACCUAUACUAGUUACCUGCCAGCUACCUUCACUUACAGGCUCUUAAUAAAUAUUCGCUAAAUGAAUGGCCUAUGGCAAAGGUCUGAAGCUUUCUCUGUAAAGGGUCAGACAGUAAAUAUUUGAGGUUUUGAGUACCAUAUGGUUUCUGUUGCAAUGACUCAGUUCUGCCAUUGUAGCCCAAAAGCAUCCAUAGACAAUUGCCUACAAAUUGGCAUCUAGCAUUUUUUUGUAAUCUAGAAGCAAUGGGCUAUGCCAUAUAGCCUCGGUGUGUAGCAGGCUAUACUAUCUAUGUUUGUGUAGGUACACUAUGAUGUUUGCAUUAUGAAAUCGCCUAAUGACACAUUCCUCAGAACAUAUCCCUGUCCUUAAGUGAUGCAUGCCUGGAUACCCUUUGUGGUAUGUGAGAUGAGUAAUUCUUCCAAAUGUUAAUGAGCAACUAGUGGGUACAAAAUUGUUAAUUUUGUAGACUUUCAGGCCCAACUCAAAUGCUGUUUCCUUCCUCAAGUCUUAUUUAAUCCUCCCCACCUGAAUGAAUCUUCUUUCUCUUAACUUUCAAAUAAUUUAUUUUUGACAUGUGACUUUCUACCCUUUAUUAAUAGCUGUUUAUAUACAUAUUUUAUCUCUUCUUUUAGAUUGCAGUCUGUCUGUGUCUGACAAAUGUGUGUGGCAGUGCAUACUCUGCUGUGUGCAUUGCAUGCAGUAGGCCCUCAGGCUAUGUUUGUUGAAUUCUGGUUUUCUUCAGUGUCAUUGUAGGAAGAUUAGCUGAAAUAGCGUAAAAGGCACCUUUGAUUUUUGGUAAAUCUGGGUCUUUGGCAAUCUGGGUUCUAAUUCUGACUUUAUCACGUACUAGCAAUAUACUCAAGCUCUCUGAAUCAACCUCAGUUUCCACACCUAUAAAAUGAGGAUAAUUCCAAUACUACAUUGUUUUGUGAGGAUUAAAUGAGUUGACAAAUGUCAAGUGCCUAACAGAAAACCUAGCACAUCAUAAACAUUAGCCUUUAUUAUAUCUAAAGGACAUAUUCAACUUUUUGUUUUACUAUCACAUAAAUGUUCUAAAAAUGACUAAUUAAUAAGCCAUUAAUAUAUAAAUAUUAAAAGGCAAAUAACAUCUUAGUGGAGUGUGUAUUAAUGAAAUGUUAUGUUAUUUUCUGCAUCUGUCAAUAAAUAUUUAAUCCAUUAUAUUUUUGCAGUCACCAUAACAACAAAAAUAAAGCUGUAUUUAAUUUGAAUUAACUCCAAGGAGUCCUAUUUCUUGUUUUGAUUCUGUGGCCAAACUGAGAUUUUGUUCUAUUUAUCAGGCUAUAGUAUCCUGAAAAUAGGUAAAAUUAACAGGGAUUAUAAGGGAACUUGUUGCAGAAAAGGUAAAGUGGUGUCUAUUAUUUUAUUACACUCUAUUAGUGACCAGUACAUAUUUUAUACUAGAAGAGAGAAUCAUAAAAAUGAAAAAUAUAACCAGCUUUGUUUUUUCCUUUAUUUCUGGCAUGUUUAUGUGCCUAGGGAUGAUAAUGCACUGUGACCCUUCAGUCAGUAUGACUCUGCAAUCCAGUGCUGCUCAGGCCCUGUCCUCAUCUUCCCUUCUGUCCUACAUGCCUCUUCCCCUGUUAUCCUGCUCCUUGCCAAGCCCCAGUUCCCAAGGAUGGUUUUUCAUUCAUCCUUGUUUGUGUCUAUCAACCCCUGGAUCCUCUUCGUAGCUAGAAGCUUAAUCUACUAGAAAAGUGGGUAAAAAAUUGCUUCUUGCUGAGUGUGAGGUGAGGGAUUGGGAGUGGCCAUGAAUGAGGUAGGAUACAGGUUUAAGGAGAGAACAGGUAAAGAUAGAAAGGAAAGAACAGGUGGG